CAAGGAGCUGUUUGCAAGAAGCAAAACCUCGUGUAUUUUCUGCUCAACAGGAGGCUGCCUUAGCCCUGCUGGAGGUGAAGCAAAGCCUGAUCUGUGGAAGCCCGGGAAUGGCAGUGCAGCACCUGCUCAGGUGGCACCUGUGGGACACUGUCAGGACUCCUCCCAGCUGCCAGCGAGGGACAGGAGGGGCAGUUUGCAUAGCCUGAGGUAAUGAUGGCUUUGGUGCAGAGAGGAUGGGCACUGGGAUGUACUUCAGGGUAGAGCCAGCUCACUAAUUCGUGCUGUGAAGGUGGAAAACAUCUCCUUGCCUUGGUGAGGAAUUAAAGGAUCAAGGUAGGCAGCAGCAGCCUGUGAGUAGGGUGCUGCAAGAGGGAAGUUGCAGUCAAAGGCCACUGCUCUUCCACCUCCUUGUGGUUCCCUUUUCCUCCAGAUGAUGCUGAUACAGGUCAGAAAGAGAGGCUGCCAUGGCCCAUGCCAGGAUAUCUCCUUUAUUUGUUCAGGUGACAGCAUUUCCUGUGCAAAGGACUGCCAGGUGCUGAGCUGCUCAUGAAUGCUGCUCCCCACCAAGGCUGAUCCAGCAGCAAGCCCUCCGAGGACACCAGUGACUCUGGCUGAUGCUCCCCUGUCCCAUCCUCAUCAUGUGAUGCCUUAAAAACGCUUCAGACUUGCAUGAGCUGUGUUUACAGUUGCCUCAAGGACAAGGAACAACAUUUCUCCAUUAUGCUUCUGUUGCCUCAAAUAGUCACAAAUAGUGUCACAAAUAAUUCCUGUCUGGUUUCAGUGUCACAAAUAGUGUCACAAAUAAUUGCUGUCUGGUUUCACAUACCAGCCUUGGAGCAGCAAUGGAGACACUGGUCCUGACCAGGAGAGCACAGCUCCAGCCAUGUAAGAGGGCUAGAAAACAGGGUCUUCUGCAUGAGGAGUGAUCUCUCUGCAGUCUUGGAAACGCUGUCUCACAGCUGGUUUGAGUUUCUGAUUCAUUUUGACAGCACCUGACACAUUCCUGCCUUAAAGGCCAAAGCUGCUCCUUGCCAGCCCCGUGUGACAAAUGAGAAUAUCCGUGAUGGGUUAAUCUGCUCUUCAUCAGCUGAGCCUGAGCGCUGCUCUUGGAAAGGGACUGGGGACGUUCAGCACAGGCACUUCUGGGGCUGUCAAAAGCUCAGCCUGAGCUUUGCUGAAGCAGACCAGAACUGAUGGAUGUCAUAGCUGAGAAACACUGGGGCAUCAAGGCAGGUGCCAAGUUUUCCCAGUCACUCGGGAUUACUCUGUCAGUGAACCUGACUGCAUAACUAAAUCUGCACAGGUGCCCUCCAGACAGAACAGGUUUUGCAGGACCUCACUGGCUAAAGAGCUCCAAAAAAGGUACUUUGUGUUGUUCUAAUCUGUGUUGCUGGAACUGAAAAAUAGACAAAGGAAUUUGAAAAUAUUUUGAAAAAACCCUGAACCAACUUGGUUUAUUCCAUGUAUGUCCACAGUGGCACCGCAGGUUUGGCUGGAGUGUUUGGCAUAGUAAAAUU
This 1517-nucleotide long non-coding RNA is filed under the name Zonotrichia albicollis (white-throated sparrow). RNAcentral describes it as "lncRNA (ENSZALG00000017803.1)". Lineage: Eukaryota; Metazoa; Chordata; Aves; Passeriformes; Passerellidae. The record is from RNAcentral.